GCGCGCGUUACCAUGCAGUCGAACGGCAGCGCGGACUUCGGUCUGGCGGCGAGUGGCGAACGGGUGAGUAAUGCAUCGGAACGUACCUUUCAGUGGGGGAUAACGUAGCGAAAGUUACGCUAAUACCGCAUAUUCUGUGAGCAGGAAAGCAGGGGAUCGCAAGACCUUGCGCUGAUGGAGCGGCCGAUGUCAGAUUAGCUAGUUGGUGGGGUAACGGCUCACCAAGGCGACGAUCUGUAGCGGGUCUUAGAGGAUGAUCCGCCACACUGGAACUGAGACACGGUCCAGACUCCUACGGGAGGCAGCAGUGGGGAAUUUUGGACAAUGGGCGCAAGCCUGAUCCAGCCAUGCCGCGUGAGUGAAGAAGGCCUUCGGGUUGUAAAGCUCUUUCGGCCGGGAAAAAAUCGCUUGGGUUAAUACCCUGAGUGGAUGAUGGUACCGGAAUAAGAAGCACCGGCUAACUACGUGCCAGCAGCCGCGGUAAUACGUAGGGUGCGAGCGUUAAUCGGAAUUACUGGGCGUAAAGCGUGCGCAGGCGGUUUUGUAAUACAGG
Molecule: ribosomal RNA, 553 nt
Filed under: uncultured bacterium
Lineage: Bacteria
Description: bacterial SSU rRNA
Rfam family: Bacterial small subunit ribosomal RNA
Source: RNAcentral